UCCUACUUAACGUAGGCAGUCCUCUAAAAAAUAUGUAAUUUAGAGCAGGGGUUGCGCUCGUUCACGGACUUAACCGAACACCUCAAGGCACGAGCUGACGACAACCAUGCAGCACCUGUCACCGAGUUCCUUGCGGCACUCCCAGGUUUCCCUAGGAUUCUCGGGAUGUCAAGCCUUGGUGAGGUUCCUCGCUUAUCGUCGAAUUAAACAACAUGCUCCACCGCUUGUGUGGGUCCCCGUCUAUUCCUUUGAGUUUUAAUCUUGCGACCGUACUCCCCAGGCGGGAUACUUAACGCGUUAGCUCAGACACUGAGGGGAUCGAUUCCCCCAACAUCUAGUAUCCAUAGUUUACGGCGUGGACUAC
Molecule: unclassified non-coding RNA, 364 nt
Filed under: uncultured bacterium
Lineage: Bacteria
Description: contains 16S-23S intergenic spacer region
Source: RNAcentral